AAAGACUUAUAUACAGGCACCUAGCCGCCAUCUCGGUCUUUUCGCUACAAGGAGUCGACUUUGAUUUCAGUCACUGCUAAACACUUCUGUGUGGCUUACGAUGGCAUCUGAUGGACAGUUCUGUGCCAUCGGGAUGAGAACAACUUCCUGGGUCAUAAAUAACAAUCUUCACACAGCCAUGGACAAACAAGCUCUAAAUGAAUUUGCUGGAGAAUGAGAUGGUGCACUUGAGCCUUACAUGUGUGGUCCAACAUUUUCUUUCUGUGGGGCUCCUAUGGACAGCUUACUUGGUACAGACUUUGCACACCUUUAAAGAUGUGAAGAGCCAGGUUGGCUGCAAGAUAUGGGACACUGAAGUUUAACACAAAGAACUGUUUGUUGGAGAACUGCAGAUUAAUUUGUGAGGGAGCUUUUAAUGGCAGACCUUCUGUUUCCCUGAAUAUUUUAAGGUUAUUUAAGACGACAGUAAUGGAGCUUGUGGAAAGAGAUCUGUAUGGAUAGAUGGAUGGAUGCUCGUGGGAUAGAAGAUUAAAUGGACUUGAUUUUUUAAAAUGUUUAUUGCAUCAUUUUGUGUCUUUUCAUCUUAGUUGU
Long non-coding RNA from Condylura cristata (star-nosed mole), 591 nucleotides. RefSeq lists it as uncharacterized. The record is from RefSeq and is a predicted model, not a curated record. The transcript has 13 exons. NCBI's taxonomy places the organism in Eukaryota, Metazoa, Chordata, Mammalia, Eulipotyphla, Talpidae.